Molecule: ribosomal RNA, 1288 nt
Filed under: Neuroperla schedingi
Lineage: Eukaryota; Metazoa; Arthropoda; Insecta; Plecoptera; Eustheniidae
Description: partial 28S ribosomal RNA
Rfam family: Eukaryotic large subunit ribosomal RNA
Source: RNAcentral
UCCCGCGUAAUUUAAGCAUAUUAAUAAGCGGAGGAAAAGAAACUAACAAGGAUUCCCCUAGUAGCUGCGAGCGAACAGGGAGGAGCCCAGCACCGAAUCCUGCGCGUCGAGGAGCGCGUCUGGAAAUGUGGUGUUUGGGAGGGUCCGGUCAUCUCGUGAGAGUACGCCAGUCCAAGUCCAUCUUGAAAGCGGCCACAGCCCACAGAGGGUGCCAGGCCCGUGGGACGGCGGUGCGACUCGAUCGAAAGGAUCUCUNNNNNNNNNNNNNNNNNNNNNNNNNNNNNNNNNNNNNNNNNNNNNNNNNNUCUUGAAGCACGGACCAAGGAGUCUAACAUGUGCGCGAGUCAUUGGGACUAGCGACUAAACCUAAAGGCGUAACGAAAGUGAAGGCGCGGCAGCGCGGCACUCGUGCCGCGCCGCCCGCCGAGGGGGGAUUCGUCCCGUCCGCAGCGACGCGGGCGACGCACCCCCGCGGCGUCUCGUUGUCAUUGCGACACAGCAGGCGCACGCUGAGCGUACACGUUGGGACCCGAAAGAUGGUGAACUAUGCCUGGUCAGGUCUGGCACUCGGAGACAGAUGUGUGAGAGCGGCGCGGCGGGCGCAAGCCCGCGACGUGCGUCCGCAAGUAACCAGUCUCAUCUGGUAAAGCGAAUGAUUAGAGGCCUUGGGGCCGAAACGACCUCAACCUAUUCUCAAACUUUAAAUGGGUGAGAAAUUCGACUUGCUCGAAUCGAGUCCAGCGAUGGACGAUGAAGUCGAAAGACAUGUGCAAAAGGAUGAACGAGCGGCCAAGUGGGCCAAUUUUGGUAAGCAGAACUGGUGCUGUGGGAUGAACCAAACGUCGAGUUAAGGCGCCUAAAUCGAUGCUCAUGGGAUACCAUGAAAGGCGUUGGUUGCCGUUGUUGAUGUGCUGUCGAAUAAUCUAAUGAUUAUGACCACAUCGGGCGAAAGGGAAUCCGGUUUCUAUUCCGGAACCCGGCUGCGGAACCGACCAUGCGGGCCAAUGUCGCAGCAAUGCGGCAACUCGUCGGGGUAACCCAAAAGGACCCGGAGACGCCGUCGGAUGAUCGAGGCAGAGUUUUCUGUUCUGUAUGAGCGUUCGAGUUCCCUGGAAGCGCCUAGCGCGGAGAUAGGGUUUGGAACGCGAAGAGCACCGCACUUGCGGCGGUGUCUCGAUCUAUCCCUCGGACCUUGAAAAUCCGGGAGAGGGCCACGUGGAGGUGUCGCGCCGGUUCGUACCGAUAUCCGCAGCUGUCUCCAAGGUCAGGAGCCUCUAGUCGAUAGAAU